RNAcentral lists this ribosomal RNA (342 nucleotides) under uncultured soil bacterium. Its description in RNAcentral is "bacterial SSU rRNA". It matches the Rfam family "Bacterial small subunit ribosomal RNA", at positions 26 to 374 of the family's 1533-position model. The record is from RNAcentral.
AGAUUGGACGCUAGCGGCAUGCCUAACACAUGCAAGUCGAACGGGAGUAGCAAUACUCUAGUGGCGGACGGGUGAGGGAAUACGUAGGAAUUUUGCCCUUAAGUGGGGGAUAACCCGGGGAAACCCGGAUUAAUACCGCAUGACCUCGAAAGAGCAAAGUGGGGGAUCGCAAGACCUCACGCUUUUGGAGAAGCCUACGUCGGAUUAGCUAGUUGGUGAGGUAAUGGCUCACCAAGGCGACGAUCCGUAACUGGUCUAGAGAGGAUAGAUCGAGUCACACCGGAACUGACGACACGGUCCGGACUCCGGUACGGAGCAGCGAGUGGGAAUAGUGGACAGUGG